Long non-coding RNA from Argentina anserina (silverweed cinquefoil), 443 nucleotides. RefSeq lists it as uncharacterized. The transcript has 2 exons. The record is from RefSeq and is a predicted model, not a curated record. NCBI's taxonomy places the organism in Eukaryota, Viridiplantae, Streptophyta, Magnoliopsida, Rosales, Rosaceae.
UUGAUAAUCAAAGAAAUAUAUAUCAUAUGCUCCUUUCAUCCCAUUCUUGGUUUUCAAAGCUAACAAAAAGCCGAAAACGCAGCAGAUCUGCGAGAGAAAGAAGAAGAUGAUACACAGGAAAUGGAGUCUGCUCACUGGGCCCGUUGCCGUACUGGGAGGCAUAGUCGCCACGGUCGUCGUCACCCACUUCGUCUUCGUCGGUAACGAUCGUUUUCUUAAGAUGGAUCCAAGGAAGGAAGAAGCCACCGCUUCAAGAAAAUAAGGCAAGGAUCAAGAGUUGUAUUUUAAUGUGACCUUUUUUAUUUUUUUCUGUUCAUCUGUUUGAAUGAAAUUGUAGUGGUAAUUGCAAUGAAUUAAGUUUGUGGAGUCAGUUUCAUGAAUUUGGAUUCUAUGUUAUGUUGACGUGGUUUGAUUGCAAGCUAAUAAAUGCCCAAAUUCAAUUG